Camellia sinensis is the source of this 1401-nucleotide non-coding RNA. Lineage: Eukaryota; Viridiplantae; Streptophyta; Magnoliopsida; Ericales; Theaceae. The record is from RefSeq and is a predicted model, not a curated record.
CCUUUUGUAUACUUGGAUUUAAGCUAUGAGGCCACCACCGUUGGAAAGAAGACUUCCGGGGCUUCAUUUUACACUCAAGAAUCUCCUAAAGCCGAGUCCGAAUGGGGGAGAUAUGGUUGUUGGAAGUUGAGCAUCAAUCCGUUAUGAUCAAAACUGAGCAGUCUUCACUAAAAAAUGCAUAACUUUUUGUACAGUUGGAAUUUUGAUGUGAGUUUUUCACGAUUGGAAAGUUUACUUCCGGGGCUUCAAUUUGGACACAAGAAUGACCUGAAAAGGAGUCCAUAUGAAGAAGUUAUGUCCGUUUGAAGUUGGACCUGCAGAGCAGAAUUUGCUAUCGGCCACAAAUGUGUGCAGUCGGCCAAAAAAGUAGCAGAUCGGCCAUCACAAAUAGCAGAUCGGCACUAAAGAUGGCCGAUCGGCCAAGAGUGACCCAAAUUCAUUUUUUUUGAAGAUAUUUCUCCUCCAGUUGUUUCCAGCUUGCUCCAGCUGUCCCAAAUCAGAUAUUUUCGACCCAAGUUGAUAUUUUGCUAUAUAUGAGAGCCUUAUACUCAUUUUCAAAGGGUUAGAACUUCUUAAGCAAGUUUGAGAGCUUCUCUCACUAAACUUCCUCUCUCUCUACAAUCUUCAGAGCUUAAUCUCUGCCUCUCUUUCUAGAGCCUCUCUCCCUUGCUCUUUUGUGCAUAGAAGUGCAUAGAAGUAGAGAAAUACUCCUAGUUGGCCUAGGCAUCCUUCAUCAAAGUUGCAUAUCUAUGGGUUGAGGUCCCUUCGAGCUUAUUUUUGGAUUGUUGGAAGGUCAUUUGAGCCCGCAAAGAGGCCAUUUUGCAGCUGUGCUUCAAGGGUGUAUCAUAUUUUGGAUCGUGCUCCAAAAUGUAAGGUGGUAAGUUCUCAACAGAUUGGGACAAGGCCUGGACAAGGUUCAAGAAGCAAGGGAAGAAAACCAUAUUUUCAGAGUUUAGCCCAAACAAGUAUGUCAACAGGAAUCCUAGGCCUUCCAAUUAUCCACUGUCUGAGGAGGUUGAUCCGAUCAAGGGAGCAGAGAGAUCAAACCUCAUGUUAUGGACUAGUCCUACUUUUACUCUGGGACUAGCCAUUGUAAUAGUCACAUUUCUUAUGGUCUACACCAUUCUUGCUGCAAUCAAGUGAAUUCAUUCAGUUCGGUCCAAGCAAGCAGGCCUGUGCUGUAAAGAUUUGAUAUUUUUACUAAGGAAAUUGUUGAAGAGGGAUUUUGUAAGUUAUGUUAUAGCCACUACAUCUGUAAGUAAAUACAGCUAAUCUACUGGUCUUCAUUUCUUUGUUAUGUUAUAUGAAUAUCAUCACCAAUGCUCAAGAAAAUUGUUUAUUUGUAAAUAUGUGAGGCAUGAAAUUUGCUAUUGAUUAUUUGUAUAACAACCAAUUUUUUUA